This 253-nucleotide ribosomal RNA is filed under the name uncultured bacterium. RNAcentral's name for it is "partial 16S ribosomal RNA". It matches the Rfam family "Bacterial small subunit ribosomal RNA", at positions 524 to 776 of the family's 1533-position model. The record is from RNAcentral.
UACAGAGGUCUCAAGCGUUGUUCGGAUUCACUGGGCGUAAAGGGUGCGUAGGUGGUUGCGCAAGUCUGAUGUGAAAUCUCCGGGCUCAACCCGGAAAUGGCAUUGGAAACUGCGUGGCUAGAGGGUUGGAGGGGGGACUGGAAUACUUGGUGUAGCAGUGAAAUGCGUAGAUAUCAAGUGGAACACCAGUGGCGAAGGCGAGUCCCUGGACAACACCUGACACUGAGGCACGAAAGCUAGGGGAGCAAACAGG